GACGAACGCUGGCGGCGUGCCUAAUACAUGCAAGUUGAGCGAUGAAGAUUGGUGCUUGCACCAAUUUGAAGAGCAGCGAACGGGUGAGUAACGCGUGGGGAAUCUGCCUUUGAGCGGGGGACAACAUUUGGAAACGAAUGCUAAUACCGCAUAACAACUUUAAACAUAAGUUUUAAGUUUGAAAGAUGCAAUUGCAUCACUCAAAGAUGAUCCCGCGUUGUAUUAGCUAGUUGGUGAGGUAAAGGCUCACCAAGGCGAUGACACAUAGCCGACCUGAGAGGGUGAUCGGCCACAUUGGGACUGUGACACGGCCCAAACUCCUACGGGAGGCAGCAGUAGGGAAUCUUCGGCAAUGGACGAAAGUCUGACCGAGCAACGCCGCGUGAGUGAAGAAGGUUUUCGGAUCGUAAAACUCUGUUGGUAGAGAAGAACGUUGGUGAGAGUGGAAAGCUCAUCAAGUGACGGUAACUACCCAGAAAGGGACGGCUAACUACGUG
This 497-nucleotide ribosomal RNA is filed under the name uncultured bacterium. RNAcentral describes it as "partial 16S ribosomal RNA". It matches the Rfam family "Bacterial small subunit ribosomal RNA", at positions 28 to 507 of the family's 1533-position model. The record is from RNAcentral.